This 253-nucleotide ribosomal RNA is filed under the name uncultured bacterium. RNAcentral describes it as "partial 16S ribosomal RNA". It matches the Rfam family "Bacterial small subunit ribosomal RNA", at positions 524 to 776 of the family's 1533-position model. The record is from RNAcentral.
UACAGAGGGUGCAAGCGUUGUUCGGAAUUAUUGGGCGUAAAGGGUGCGUAGGCGGUGCGGUAAGUCUGCUGUGAAAUCUCCGGGCUCAACUCGGAGUCUGCAACGGAAACUGCCGUGCUUGAGUAUGGGAGAGGUGAGUGGAAUUCCCGGUGUAGCGGUGAAAUGCGUAGAUAUUGGGAGGAACACCAGUGGCGAAGGCGGCGAUCUGGGAAGAUACUGACGCUGAGGUGCGAAAGCGUGGGGAGCAAACAGG